Molecule: long non-coding RNA, 888 nt
Filed under: Homo sapiens (human)
Lineage: Eukaryota; Metazoa; Chordata; Mammalia; Primates; Hominidae
Description: non-protein coding LINC01697:40
Source: RNAcentral
GAUCUUUGUGUUGCCAGGCAGGAAUGGGCUGCUUGGGGACCCAGUGAGCUCCGAGGGCCUUUCUGCUGCUUCCUGUACCCCUGUAUUUCGCUCAGCUCUCUGACUUGACUCAGCUCCAGAAAUAUUCUUUCAUUAAUAUUACAUGCUUAUGGAACUUUACCUAUUGAUUAAAGACAUCUACCCCUGGAGAAAGAGCCCAAUGAGAAGUAAUCUCUGAAGCCCAGAUUUCCUAAGGAUGAAGCUUCAGGAGAGGCCUUAUCAAUCCUGACAACAAACUUUUCUCGUCAAUUUAGUUUCAUUUAAUGGAAGUUUUAAAUGUGUAAAGUUCAGAAGGCUAUUAAAAUUGGUUCCAGCUAUCUAAGAUACACACACAACCACACACGCGCACACACGGUAGAGAUAAAUAUGUUCGAAAAUCCAGCUCAAUGUUACUAGAAAAUUUGAUCAGAAUCUGGUGAAAUAAAUAGUAAACUUACUAAAAAUGCCAAAUAUCCCAGAAGCUGCUUAACAUUUGAUCAAAAGCUCUGUCCAGUCAAUUCCUGCUUCUUUCAAAAAUACUCUGCUGAAAAGCCAAAGGAGAAAUGGGGCUGGUACCUUCAAUAUAGAGAAUUCCAAGUAAGAUUAGAUCCCAGAAGGCUUAGUGUGGCUUUCUAGGACUCUCACUAUUAGGCAGUAACCUACCAUUCACCUCUGUUUCCCAGAUUCACCUUGUUAUACCUUAUAACUUAAAAUAUAAAUUCCAACAAUGUACUGCACUCAAAAAAAUUAUUUCUCAAUUUGUUUGCUCAUACUAUUGAUUUUUUUCUAGAAUCUAAAUAAUUGUGAAUUAACUAUGAUAGCAGUAUGCACAAACAGUAAGUGAAAUCAGACCUAUUAAUUCUGAGAGGA